GCAAGAUACCACGGGCGCACGGCGGAUGCCUUGGCACAGGGAGCCGAUGAAGGACGCGGCAAGCUGCGAUAAUCCCCGGCGAGGAGCACACAUCCUUCGACCCGGGGGUCUCCGAAUGGGCGAACCCAUCCGUAGCAGUACGGAUAUCCCCCCGCUGAACACAUAGGCGGGGGGAGGACGACCCGGGGAACUGAAACAUCUAAGUACCCGGAGGAGAGGAAAUCAAUCUCGAGACUCCCCGA
RNAcentral lists this ribosomal RNA (242 nucleotides) under Bifidobacterium longum. RNAcentral describes it as "partial 23S ribosomal RNA". It matches the Rfam family "Bacterial large subunit ribosomal RNA", at positions 1 to 242 of the family's 2925-position model. Lineage: Bacteria; Bacillati; Actinomycetota; Actinomycetes; Bifidobacteriales; Bifidobacteriaceae. The record is from RNAcentral.